AGAGGGUGAAACUCCCGUCCGCCUGGUAGAAUGAGUCUUUGUCAACGAGUCGAGUUGUUUGGGAUUGCAGCUCUAAUUUGGUAGUAAAUUCCACCUAAAGCUAAAUAUUGGUGGGAGACCGAUAGCGUACAAGUACCGUGAGGGAAAGAUGCAAGGAACUUUGAAAAGAGAGUUAAAGAGUACCUGAAAUUGCUGAAACGGAAGCGAAGGAAACCAGUGUUUGUUGGUUCAUAUUUCCCUGGCCACUUGUGGUUUGGGCGCUGUGGGCUUGCGUGAGUUUGGGUUGGUUGAUUCCUUUGGAAGAGCGCAGUCAGAGUUGAUGUCU
Molecule: ribosomal RNA, 325 nt
Filed under: Pseudo-nitzschia sp.
Lineage: Eukaryota; Bacillariophyta; Bacillariophyceae; Bacillariales; Bacillariaceae
Description: LSU rRNA
Rfam family: Eukaryotic large subunit ribosomal RNA
Source: RNAcentral